CCUCAUCCACCUCCAGCGCCGCCACGCCCUGCAACGCCGCCGCGCGCCGCCGAACUCCGCCCCGUCGUCGCCCCGCCGGAAUCCGCCGGAACUCGACCCGCCGUCGCGCCGCCGCUCAAGCCCAGCUUCUGGAUCGGGUCAACGCGGUGGCUCGAGCGGCUGGGGGCGGAUCCGGCGAGGAGGAGGCCGGAGUCGAGGCGGGCCACGCCAUGGGAGGAGGCCGGAGCUCGAGGGGCACGGUAAUGGGUGCGGCGGGGCGGAUCCGGCGAGGAGAGACCGGAGUGGAGGUGGGGGCACGCCAUGGGAGGCUAGCAAAGCUUCGGGCAGCACCAUCCAUAGUGGUUGCUACCUGUGGGAGAAGAGGAGGGAGAUUUUGAGAAAGAGAGAGAGACAGGAGUAAAGAGAGAGGGAAGGGAGAGGAAGGAGAGAUGGCCGGAGGCGUGGUCAAUGGUGAAGGUCCGGCGGCGCGCGGAGCGCGCUGCCCGCCGGUGGACACCCAAUUGUGCGUGAACCCGCCGAGGACUGACCUCGCCACCUCCGUGCCUCCCCCAGGAUCUCCGUCACUGCCUCAUGCUGCUGUGCGCAAAGAUACUGCUGCCUCUCCCUGGUACAUCCAUCUCCACUUCCUCGGGGCGCUGCUCACCGGCUCAUGACCUGAUAUGGAAUUGACGUUUGCGCACACAAGUUCCCCUGUCUGGCUCUGCCGGCUCCCGUAGUUGAGCAGAGCCAGGAGAUCGAGAGAGGAAAUACUCACUUGAUUUUGCAAAUUAUGUUGGGCAUGGAGAUUGAUCUGUUAUUUUUGGUUGUCCCUAGAUUCAAGGAUGACAGCGCCCAAACCUUUCCCUGAUGUUUGGGCAAAGGCGUGUGUCUGAUGUGCAGCAAAGCGACGAAACAAUGGUCGAUGGUUAUGUAUCUCGCGGGACUCGACGGUUACAGUUUCGGGAGCAGCACUGUUGCUUGCUAGCAUAUUUUUUUUCUUACAUAUAUGAACUGAUGAUGCUUUAUUUGGUGUUGUUUCCCAUGGCAGUACAUUAUGGCUUUGUUGACGAUGAUUUCUGCUAAUGUGCACACAGCUGAGGAAUAGACCCGGCAAGGAAGAGAGCUACACCAAUGUAGUCGGUGGAAUUAACAAGCAAAGUAAAUCCUGAAGCUCCUGGUUGUAACAAGAGGAAGUCGAUUUGUCAGUGGAAACAUAGCUGCAAGGAAGCGAUAUCUCAACUUUGACGUUACUUAAGCUUUUGGAUUUCAGAUUUAGUUGCCAUCACCAAACUGGUAUGCAAUUGAGUUGCACUUGAGCGCACAAGCUGAUUUCUAAAUAUCGCACAGUACUAUAGUUGUGCUCCACUAAAUAGCUUAUAUUCGAGCAGUCUUGCGGAAUAGUUACAGUGAAGAAAAAGCUUGCAAGAUUGAUUUGAUUUGCUGGUUUUUUGAGUGGCGCUACCCCUAUUAGGCUAAGUAGAAGCACUAUACGACGACUAAAGUACACCAGAUUACCUUCUCUGGUUUUGUAAUUUGUUGUUUGUUAUUUUUGGAAUUAUUUUGGGUACAAGGAAAGAAGUGCCAGAGAACUGCCAUUGUUUCGUGGUAAAAUUUACUAAUGUUGGUAUUUCUUUUCAAGAUUAUAUUAUUGUUUGCCCAUUUGGUCCUUGGAUGUUCUACUGAUUUUUUUUCCAAUUCCUUGUGGAUAAUUUGCUUCGGAUCAUCAGACUACCUAGGGAAACAUGCACAUUCUUUAUCUCACCCCCCUCUUUAUCUAAAGAUAUAUUGGGCAUCAGUCCACCUGUCAUGAGAUCUCUGAAUUUUGGAGGCAUGUUGUAUUUUCUGAAUUUCUUGCAGAUAUUAUGCUUGGACUCACAAAUGCAUGUAAUGCUUCCACUAGAGGUUUGUUCUUCGUUUCUUCUAUGUUAUUCCUCUUUCAAGUUUUUGGUCCUUGAAAAGUAAUAGUACUUGCUAGGUUUUCUAGGUUCAUUUUUUGUGUGGUAGAAGCUGAAUGUAUAUGGCCUGAAUUUACAUAUCAGAGUGUAUGAGUUGAUUAAGGGUAUGGGAGAGAACAAUUGUCAUCCUCAAAUAACACGCGUCGUCACUAAGUUUCUUAUAUUUACCAAUUGAAACAUGUCACUAAGUUGCUACUGAUGUCACGGUGUCCAUAAUGCAGAACACAUAAUAAGUUAAAUCAAGCCAAUGAUUUUGUUCUUUUAGCCAGAGUCAGGUUCAGAGUUGUUCACACUGAAUUUUCUGGGCACAUCCAUAAGCAAGCUAGCACGUAUUAUUUAACUGAAGCAGAGGGCGGCUAAGCUAUGAAUGCUUCAUUCUUUGUUCUGAACAAAUGCAGCUACGACUUUAUAUUUUGAAGAACCGGCACCUGAGUGUGUUCUGUUUUUAUAGCCUGCAGAGUCUGGAGAGUAAAGCUUGUACAUUUUGUAAACCAUUUUGUUCCAGUUUCCCUUGGUAUACAAGUCUAUACUGUAUCGGGUUUUGCCAUUGCCGAUCAUGUACUUCUUUCUGUGCUAGACCGGUAUAAGUAUAUUUAGCUCAUGUACACAUGGCAUUUGGAUUGAACCAAAGAAUUUCAUGUUGAUGACUACAUAUAUACCUGAACAUGGUGGCUUGAACUUGGUUAUUAUUCUUGGACAUGAUGCUGGAAUAAUUCUUGAAGUUUCAUA
This is a long non-coding RNA of Triticum dicoccoides, 2663 nucleotides long. RefSeq lists it as uncharacterized. The transcript is spliced from 3 exons. The record is from RefSeq and is a predicted model, not a curated record. Lineage: Eukaryota; Viridiplantae; Streptophyta; Magnoliopsida; Poales; Poaceae.